GCAGCAGGAGUGGGGGGAGGCCAAGCAAGGGGCGCGCCAGCUCUGUUGGUCUCGACGGCGGCGGCG
This 66-nucleotide non-coding RNA is filed under the name uncultured eukaryote. The record is from RNAcentral.